CGUAGCACGUUUCACGGCUCCUCGGCUCGGAAGCAAACUGCUGCUGCUGCUGCUCGUCUGGACUGGCCUUUCUGGCAUUUGCCAGAAGUGCCAGAUGCCCAGUCCGGCCAUGAUUGUAGCCCAACCUUCACUGCAACUAAAUUAAUUCCCACCAGGCCCCUUCAACAAGCCUGGGUAAUUAGUUCCUGCCCCCCACAUCAGUUGGCAUGAUAGGAUAAAUCUGGUGGACAGGUGGGGAUGGGAAAAACUGAUGGCAGAGGGACAUGUAAGAUAAUAUCUGGUGGGCAAAUGAGAAUAUAAGCCAAAAGCUGAUUUGCAAGGGACAGAAAACCUCUCUCUACCCCCUGAGCAUCAAUGGAGCCUGGACCUCACUCUCCAGUACAUCCGUGCAUCUGGACUGCAGCCUCACCAGCCAGCCUGAAGAAAAUUAAGAAUUUGUAUCAUUUGUGUCUGCAGAAAUGAUGUCUCCAGUGUAAGUGUUCAUCGCUCUACACUCAUAGAUCCCGGAAUCAGACCGUGUGGCAUUCUGGACAACAGCUGUC
Molecule: long non-coding RNA, 542 nt
Organism: Pseudophryne corroboree (corroboree frog)
Lineage: Eukaryota; Metazoa; Chordata; Amphibia; Anura; Myobatrachidae
Exons: 3
Source: RefSeq, a predicted model, not a curated record